AGCCUAGUAGCGUAAUGGUAACGCGUCAGACUUCUAAUCUGAAGAUUGCGAGUUCGAGUCUCGUCUGGGCUA
This 72-nucleotide transfer RNA is filed under the name Gomphillus americanus. It matches the Rfam family "tRNA". From Rfam's summary of the family: Transfer RNA (tRNA) molecules are approximately 80 nucleotides in length. Their secondary structure includes four short double-helical elements and three loops (D, anti-codon, and T loops). Lineage: Eukaryota; Fungi; Ascomycota; Lecanoromycetes; Ostropales; Graphidaceae. The record is from Rfam by way of RNAcentral.